This 646-nucleotide long non-coding RNA is filed under the name Homo sapiens (human). Its description in RNAcentral is "HSALNT0367494". Lineage: Eukaryota; Metazoa; Chordata; Mammalia; Primates; Hominidae. The record is from RNAcentral.
UGUAUUUUCUUUGGCUGAUGUCGUGUUUCCUUGCAGAGGCCAUGAGGUCUGGAAGGCAGGAAUCAAUUCUCCCACAUGGAGGCAUGCUCCCGGGCGUAGAGGACAAUGUCUCGCAUGAAGCGGGCACUAAGUAAACACUCAUGGAGUGAUUGAUGGGCUGUUUGAGAGAAAUGUGCUCGUGAGAGUCUGGGGCACAUCUGGAAAGAGCUGAGAGAGGAUUUUCAGGAGGAGCAGGCAGCACAGAACUUGCUGCAGGAGCCUGCCAAAGGCUUUGUGCUGCCUGGUUUUUCCUCCCUUGAUCCUGGUGUCAGUUUCAGAAAGACUUAAGUGGAUCCUGCAUCAGGAGGGAGCAGACACCGGAGAAAGAAAAACAAGUUGUGCUGUUUGAGGAAGCAAGUUGGACCUGCACUCCAGCCUGUGGAGAUGAACCUAGGACUGUGAUUCUGCUAUCCAGUAUGUUGGCUGACCACAGGGUGGAAAACUGCAGACCCCACCCAGUGGCAGCAGAGGAGGGAGGUUAAUCUAAGGACUGAGAUGAAGCCAGGCUGGGCUGGAAUGAAGGAAAACUGGUUUCAAGAAGAAAACAAGGCUGGGUAUGGUGGCUCAUGCCUGUAAUCCCAGCACUUUGGGAGGCCAAGGCAGGAGG